GGUUCUAUAGUGUAAUGGUUAGGAUUCUAACUCCGGCAAUCCCGGUUCGACUCCGGGUAGGACCU
Non-coding RNA from Trichophaea hybrida, 65 nucleotides. Lineage: Eukaryota; Fungi; Ascomycota; Pezizomycetes; Pezizales; Pyronemataceae. The record is from the annotation of a GenBank genome assembly.